GAGAGUAGGGAUCUUCCGCAAGGACGAAGUCUGACGGAGCAACGCCGCGUGAGUGAUGAAGGUUUUCGGAUCGUAAAGCUCUGUUGUUAGGGAAGAACAAGUGCCGUUCAAAUAGGGCGGCACCUUGACGGUACCUAACCAGAAAGCCACGGCUAACUACGUGCCAGCAGCCGCGGUAAUACGUAGGUGGCAAGCGUUGUCCGGAAUUAUUGGCGUAAAGGGCUCCAGCUUUCUUUCAACGGGGG
This 245-nucleotide ribosomal RNA is filed under the name Bacillus velezensis. Its description in RNAcentral is "partial 16S ribosomal RNA". It matches the Rfam family "Bacterial small subunit ribosomal RNA", at positions 351 to 591 of the family's 1533-position model. Lineage: Bacteria; Bacillati; Bacillota; Bacilli; Caryophanales; Bacillaceae. The record is from RNAcentral.